ACUAUUUUGGCAGAAAAGUGUUAUGGGUUUAGAAUCCAUUAAUGUAAGUAUUUAUCUUACAGAUAGUG
Molecule: transfer RNA, 68 nt
Filed under: Platystigma martinezi
Lineage: Eukaryota; Metazoa; Arthropoda; Insecta; Odonata; Coenagrionidae
Description: tRNA-Leu
Source: RNAcentral